This 2900-nucleotide ribosomal RNA is filed under the name Klebsiella pneumoniae. RNAcentral describes it as "23S ribosomal RNA". It matches the Rfam family "Bacterial large subunit ribosomal RNA". The record is from RNAcentral. Lineage: Bacteria; Pseudomonadati; Pseudomonadota; Gammaproteobacteria; Enterobacterales; Enterobacteriaceae.
UUAAGCGACUAAGCGUACACGGUGGAUGCCCUGGCAGUCAGAGGCGAUGAAGGACGUGCUAAUCUGCGAAAAGCGUCGGUAAGGUGAUAUGAACCGUUAUAGCCGGCGAUGUCCGAAUGGGGAAACCCAGUGUGAUUCGUCACACUAUCGUUAACUGAAUACAUAGGUUAACGAGGCGAACCGGGGGAACUGAAACAUCUAAGUACCCCGAGGAAAAGAAAUCAACCGAGAUUCCCCCAGUAGCGGCGAGCGAACGGGGAGCAGCCCAGAGUCUGAAUCAGCUUGUGUGUUAGUGGAACGGUCUGGAAAGUCCGACGGUACAGGGUGAUAGUCCCGUACACCAAAAUGCACAGGUUGUGAACUCGAAGAGUAGGGCGGGACACGUGGUAUCCUGUCUGAAUAUGGGGGGACCAUCCUCCAAGGCUAAAUACUCCUGACUGACCGAUAGUGAACCAGUACCGUGAGGGAAAGGCGAAAAGAACCCCGGCGAGGGGAGUGAAAAAGAACCUGAAACCGUGUACGUACAAGCAGUGGGAGCACCUUCGGGUGUGACUGCGUACCUUUUGUAUAAUGGGUCAGCGACUUAUAUUCUGUAGCAAGGUUAACCGUAUAGGGGAGCCGCAGGGAAACCGAGUCUUAACUGGGCGUUAAGUUGCAGGGUAUAGACCCGAAACCCGGUGAUCUAGCCAUGGGCAGGUUGAAGGUUGGGUAACACUAACUGGAGGACCGAACCGACUAAUGUUGAAAAAUUAGCGGAUGACUUGUGGCUGGGGGUGAAAGGCCAAUCAAACCGGGAGAUAGCUGGUUCUCCCCGAAAGCUAUUUAGGUAGCGCCUCGUGAAUUCAUCUUCGGGGGUAGAGCACUGUUUCGGCUAGGGGGUCAUCCCGACUUACCAACCCGAUGCAAACUACGAAUACCGAAGAAUGUUAUCACGGGAGACACACGGCGGGUGCUAACGUCCGUCGUGAAGAGGGAAACAACCCAGACCGCCAGCUAAGGUCCCAAAGUCAUGGUUAAGUGGGAAACGAUGUGGGAAGGCACAGACAGCCAGGAUGUUGGCUUAGAAGCAGCCAUCAUUUAAAGAAAGCGUAAUAGCUCACUGGUCGAGUCGGCCUGCGCGGAAGAUGUAACGGGGCUAAACCAUGCACCGAAGCUGCGGCAGCGACACUAUGUGUUGUUGGGUAGGGGAGCGUUCUGUAAGCCUGCGAAGGUGUGCUGUGAGGCAUGCUGGAGGUAUCAGAAGUGCGAAUGCUGACAUAAGUAACGAUAAAGCGGGUGAAAAGCCCGCUCGCCGGAAGACCAAGGGUUCCUGUCCAACGUUAAUCGGGGCAGGGUGAGUCGACCCCUAAGGCGAGGCCGAAAGGCGUAGUCGAUGGGAAACAGGUUAAUAUUCCUGUACUUGGUGUUACUGCGAAGGGGGGACGGAGAAGGCUAUGUUAGCCGGGCGACGGUUGUCCCGGUUUAAGCAUGUAGGCUGGUUGUCCAGGCAAAUCCGGAUAAUCAAGGCUGAGGUGUGAUGACGAGGCACUACGGUGCUGAAGUAACAAAUGCCCUGCUUCCAGGAAAAGCCUCUAAGCAUCAGGUAACAUUAAAUCGUACCCCAAACCGACACAGGUGGUCAGGUAGAGAAUACCAAGGCGCUUGAGAGAACUCGGGUGAAGGAACUAGGCAAAAUGGUGCCGUAACUUCGGGAGAAGGCACGCUGGUGUGUAGGUGAAGUCCCUGCGGAUGGAGCUGAGACCAGUCGAAGAUACCAGCUGGCUGCAACUGUUUAUUAAAAACACAGCACUGUGCAAACACGAAAGUGGACGUAUACGGUGUGACGCCUGCCCGGUGCCGGAAGGUUAAUUGAUGGGGUUAUCCGUAAGGAGAAGCUCUUGAUCGAAGCCCCGGUAAACGGCGGCCGUAACUAUAACGGUCCUAAGGUAGCGAAAUUCCUUGUCGGGUAAGUUCCGACCUGCACGAAUGGCGUAAUGAUGGCCAGGCUGUCUCCACCCGAGACUCAGUGAAAUUGAACUCGCUGUGAAGAUGCAGUGUACCCGCGGCAAGACGGAAAGACCCCGUGAACCUUUACUAUAGCUUGACACUGAACAUUGAGCCUUGAUGUGUAGGAUAGGUGGGAGGCUUUGAAGCGUGGACGCCAGUCUGCGUGGAGCCAACCUUGAAAUACCACCCUUUAAUGUUUGAUGUUCUAACGUUGGCCCCUUACCGGGGUUGCGGACAGUGUCUGGUGGGUAGUUUGACUGGGGCGGUCUCCUCCCAAAGCGUAACGGAGGAGCACGAAGGUUAGCUAAUCCUGGUCGGACAUCAGGAGGUUAGUGCAAUGGCAUAAGCUAGCUUGACUGCGAGCGUGACGGCGCGAGCAGGUGCGAAAGCAGGUCAUAGUGAUCCGGUGGUUCUGAAUGGAAGGGCCAUCGCUCAACGGAUAAAAGGUACUCCGGGGAUAACAGGCUGAUACCGCCCAAGAGUUCAUAUCGACGGCGGUGUUUGGCACCUCGAUGUCGGCUCAUCACAUCCUGGGGCUGAAGUAGGUCCCAAGGGUAUGGCUGUUCGCCAUUUAAAGUGGUACGCGAGCUGGGUUUAGAACGUCGUGAGACAGUUCGGUCCCUAUCUGCCGUGGGCGCUGGAGAAUUGAGGGGGGCUGCUCCUAGUACGAGAGGACCGGAGUGGACGCAUCACUGGUGUUCGGGUUGUCAUGCCAAUGGCACUGCCCGGUAGCUAAAUGCGGAAGAGAUAAGUGCUGAAAGCAUCUAAGCACGAAACUUGCCCCGAGAUGAGUUCUCCCUGAGACUUUAAGUCUCCUGAAGGAACGUUGAAGACGACGACGUUGAUAGGCCGGGUGUGUAAGCGCAGCGAUGCGUUGAGCUAACCGGUACUAAUGAACCGUGAGGCUUAACCUU